CCUACGGGAGGCAGCAGUGGGGAAUAUUGCUCAAUGGGGGAAACCCUGAUGCAGCGACGCCGCGUGAGUGAAGAAGUAUUUCGGUAUGUAAAGCUCUAUCAGCAGGGAAGAAAAUGACGGUACCUGAUUAAGAAGCCCCGUCUAACUACGUGCCAGCAGCCGCGGUAAUACGUAAGGGGCAGGCGUUAUCCGGAUUUACUGGGUGUAAAGGGGGCGUAGACGGCAGCACAAGUCUGGAGUGAAAUGCCUGGGCUUAACCCCGGAACUGCUUUGGAAACUGGGCAGCUAGAGUGCAGGAGAGGUAAGUGGAAUGCCUAGUGUAGCGGUGAAAUGCGUAGAUAUUAGGAGGAACACCAGUGGCGAAGGCGGCUUACUGGACUGUAACUGACGUUGAGGCUCGAAAGCGUGGGGAGCAAACAGGAUUAGAUACCCCGGUAGUC
Molecule: ribosomal RNA, 440 nt
Filed under: uncultured bacterium
Lineage: Bacteria
Description: partial 16S ribosomal RNA
Rfam family: Bacterial small subunit ribosomal RNA
Source: RNAcentral